GACGAACGCUGGCGGCGUGCCUAAUACAUGCAAGUCGAACGAACUCUGGUAUUGAUUGGUGCUUGCAUCAUGAUUUACAUUUGAGUGAGUGGCGAACUGGUGAGUAACACGUGGGAAACCUGCCCAGAAGCGGGGGAUAACACCUGGAAACAGAUGCUAAUACCGCAUAACAACUUGGACCGCAUGGUCCGAGCUUGAAAGAUGGCUUCGGCUAUCACUUUUGGAUGGUCCCGCGGCGUAUUAGCUAGAUGGUGGGGUAACGGCUCACCAUGGCAAUGAUACGUAGCCGACCUGAGAGGGUAAUCGGCCACAUUGGGACUGAGACACGGCCCAAACUCCUACGGGAGGCAGCAGUAGGGAAUCUUCCACAAUGGACGAAAGUCUGAUGGAGCAACGCCGCGUGAGUGAAGAAGGGUUUCGGCUCGUAAAACUCUGUUGUUAAAGAAGAACAUAUCUGAGAGUAACUGUUCAGGUAUUGACGGUAUUUAACCAGAAAGCCACGGCUAACUACGUGCCAGCAGCCGCGGUAAUACGUAGGUGGCAAGCGUUGUCCGGAUUUAUUGGGCGUAAAGCGAGCGCAGGCGGUUUUUUAAGUCUGAUGUGAAAGCCUUCGGCUUAACCGAAGAAGUGCAUCGGAAACUGGGAAACUUGAGUGCAGAAGAGGACAGUGGAACUCCAUGUGUAGCGGUGAAAUGCGUAGAUAUAUGGAAGAACACCAGUGGCGAAGGCGGCUGUCUGGUCUGUAACUGACGCUGAGGCUCGAAAGUAUGGGUAGCAAACAGGAUUAGAUACCCUGGUAGUCCAUACCGUAAACGAUGAAUGCUAAGUGUUGGAGGGUUUCCGCCCUUCAGUGCUGCAGCUAACGCAUUAAGCAUUCCGCCUGGGGAGUACGGCCGCAAGGCUGAAACUCAAGGGAAUUGACGGGGGCCCGCACAAGCGGUGGAGCAUGUGGUUUAAUUCGAAGCUACGCGAAGAACCUUACCAGGUCUUGACAUACUAUGCAAAUCUAAGAGAUUAGACGUUCCCUUCGGGGACAUGGAUACAGGUGGUGCAUGGUUGUCGUCAGCUCGUGUCGUGAGAUGUUGGGUUAAGUCCCGCAACGAGCGCAACCCUUAUUAUCAGUUGCCAGCAUUAAGUUGGGCACUCUGGUGAGACUGCCGGUGACAAACCGGAGGAAGGUGGGGAUGACGUCAAAUCAUCAUGCCCCUUAUGACCUGGGCUACACACGUGCUACAAUGGAUGGUACAACGAGUUGCGAACUCGCGAGAGUAAGCUAAUCUCUUAAAGCCAUUCUCAGUUCGGAUUGUAGGCUGCAACUCGCCUACAUGAAGUCGGAAUCGCUAGUAAUCGCGGAUCAGCAUGCCGCGGUGAAUACGUUCCCGGGCCUUGUACACACCGCCCGUCACACCAUGAGAGUUUGUAACACCCAAAGUUGGUGGGGUAACCUUUUAGGAACCAGCCGCCUAAGGUGGGACAGAUGAUUAGGGUGA
This 1490-nucleotide ribosomal RNA is filed under the name Lactiplantibacillus argentoratensis. RNAcentral describes it as "bacterial SSU rRNA". It matches the Rfam family "Bacterial small subunit ribosomal RNA". Lineage: Bacteria; Bacillati; Bacillota; Bacilli; Lactobacillales; Lactobacillaceae. The record is from RNAcentral.